This is a long non-coding RNA of Bacillus rossius redtenbacheri, 6967 nucleotides long. RefSeq lists it as uncharacterized. Lineage: Eukaryota; Metazoa; Arthropoda; Insecta; Phasmatodea; Bacillidae. The transcript is spliced from 2 exons. The record is from RefSeq and is a predicted model, not a curated record.
AAAGUUAUUUUCUUACAUUUGCAAUGGUAAACAAUGAACGUUUUUAAAAAUAAAAGCAUUAAAACGUAGUUUAUAAGGAGGAAUAUAAAAAAACAUUUGUGAAUUUUAGGGCUUUUCCGCUUCGUAAAAACGUAUGAAACGGGAAAUUAAUGAUUUUAUAAGUGUGUGUUCCGGGAAAGUAAACCAUUUGUAAAAGAACUUUCGGCGGGACCAAGAUUAAUUGGCGUAUGACACGGGAAAAUGUAUGAAACUGGAACGUAUCAUUGAGGUUCUACUGUAUUAGGUUCAUUAGCUGAUUGAUUUGAGGUUAUGUUAUAUCUAGUAAAGAUAAACUUAAAAUUCCCGAAAAUUUCGGGAAAUUUAUUUUCCCUCCCGACGGGAUAAAAGCCUCUAUGUUCCCGAAAUUUUUCCCGAAUUUCGGGAUCCCGCACAGGCCUAGAACAAAGCUUUAGGGGAUUUCAGUGUUAAUGGCGGGUACUCCUCUAAAAAGAUAUUCAAAUCUUAUUUCAAUGUUCCGGAAAGAAACUUUAUAAUGAAAGUACCUUGUACUGAACAGUUACAAAAUGUAAAUCAUAUAUGUAGUAGGGAUCUGAAAAUAUAUGCUUUAAAGUGAGGUGCUUUGUAAGGCGGUUUCACUUGAAAUGUCUGGAUGAUUAUUCUCAUAAAAACCUCGCAGCACACCACAGAAUAAUAGUGCACCAAAUAAUAGUGAUUGAAAAACCCUGUACUAAGCAUUAACAGACUAACAUACAAGCCUUUAUAAAAACAAACACACUAGUUAAUUUAGCUAAGUAACGGUUCUUUUCACACCAAACGUCUUUGCAGGCCAAAAUUCAUGAUGUAAGGUGUGUUAUCACCACAGGAAAAUUUGAGGCAAUCUUCAAUGAAUUAAUAUUAGAAUCUGUACACAGGCGAGACUGCCAAAAAGGACGACUUUUAUGAAAACUGAAAAUUAUUCCGUGGAAAAUAUAUUGUCGCGGGUUGAAAUUUUGCAGGGUUGUUGAAAUCAAAUUUAGGGACUUUACUGACAGGACUCUGGGCUGGCUGCUCUGUUCACUCGUCAGCGCAAGUGGCGUGACCAUGUAAUUGGGGCACGGGGCCGGCGCGGCGCGCUGCGGGCUUGCAGAAUUUUGUUUGUUUGUUUGGCCGCGCGCUGGCGCAGCCACGGGCCGCAGUUACUGGGGCGCGCUGUCGUAACAAGCCGCGCGGUGUGGCCUGCACAUUGGGGUAGAGGGGGGGUAGUCUUCCCAGAUGUUCUAGUUAGUUGUUUAGUAAAUUUGACUUCAAUAACGAGCUUUUGUUAUGGUAGGCGCGGCAGGGCGCGCGAAUUUAAGCGCAAGUGAGUGGUGACUCGGGGCUCACUCAGGCGGAGGCUAUGCGUCUCACCUGUGGUCACGAGUUGUUAGUUCGUUCGUGAUGUAGGAAUUCAGGCUCACUCAGGCGGAGGCUAUGCGUCUCACCUGUGGUCACGAGUUGUUAGUUCGUUCGUGAUGUAGGAAUUCAAGCUUUCGGGCGGCAGCUAUGGUCGACGCCAGAGGCCACGAGUCGUUUAAUUUAAGUUAGGUCAUAAUGUAGUCGUCAAGCUUUCGGGCGGAGGCUAUGGCCCUCGUCAGGGGUCACGCGUCAUAGUUUUUAAAAUGUAAUGUUCGUUCGGGAUUUCAAGGGCAGGAGAGGCCCCGACGUUAUUUUUUUAAAGUAAUCGAUCAAGAAAGGCUUUUCGGAAAAUGUGAGUAUGGACUUAUCUUUGUUUUAAUUUUAAGUAUUAAUUAUGAUUUGAGGUAUUCGGAAGGACUAGGGAAGUGUUUAGUGAAGUUCUCUCAUUCUCUCUCUUGUAAGGUCGUUCAAUCGUUAAGGAAGUAAAGAGAUUAUUGUUUUAAAUUGUAAUCCCGCUAUUUAAAUGUUCUUUAAAAUGAUGUUGAGUAUUUGACUUUAAGAAUAAAAUAAUUUUAAUUAAGUAUUAUGUUAUUUUGCAAAAUCUCCUUAGUUCAGCUCUCACCAGACAUCCUGUACGGGAUGACGAACCUAUGAUCCUAGGUACAGUAAAGUAUUUUAUGAAGUUAAGACUAGUUGAUGCCAAGCGAGUUGUUUCUAUGUAAAGAGUUACGAUUCUCUCCCCCCUCUGAAGAUGGCACGUGACAGAAAUGGUAGAGUUCGCCGGAUAGGUUCUAUUUCUGGAGAGAGAGAGAGGUAGAUUUUUAUGUUUAUUAUUAAGUUAGUUUCAGCUUCUGAUAGCAGGUUAUUAAGAGUUUACUUGAGGAGAGGAUUACGGAAUUUUAGUCUAUAGUGGAGGAAGUCUUUGAGAUUUUUUUUUGACGUAACAGAUGUUUAUUUGAGGAUACUUGUAAGGAUAAAGUUUAUAGUGAUAAGUUGUUUUAAGUCGUUGAAUUUAUUGUAGAUUUAUAUCGGGGAUUAUUACGUGAGGAGAAUACGUUAUAAGUUAAAUGCUUAUUAGAGAUAAUGCAAGUGGUUUAAUUUAAUUGGAGUUCAUUUUAAGAUUGUAGGUUAAGAGAAUUAUAAUUUAAAAUAAAGUUUUUUGUCGUAAAUAGGAAUUAUUUUCAAGUGAAGUUUGUUUUGUUUUCGUGCGCGUAGGAGACGAGACGUACGAAUUAAAUCAGUCGAGGGAAGGAUAAACGUUAGAAAGGAAUUAAAGAGAAAACGAGAGUUUAUGUAAAAGAGAGUUAUAGAAUUUAUAGUGAUGUUUUGUUUUAAUUAGAAAAAUGUUGAGAGUUGUUUCAGAACGACACGUCAGUGGACGUGGCAGAGUGAACACGUGACGGGGAGGUGCUGAGACCUAGCGGAGAACGGAGGAACCGCAAGCGAGGGUUGGCGCACCUGAUGGAAUUCGGUGACGUCACGGGCUCAUACGGAGACGUGGACAGGCCGUGACCUUGUUUUGAUCAGCUGUACGGUAACUUAGCGAUAAGAAAAUAGACUAUUGGUUAAAUAAAUUUAAAUUUAAGUGUGUUUUAGGAGAAGAGGAACUUUCAGUAUAUUCCUUAAGAUGAGCUGAGCAGCAGUCCAGUUUACAAGAUGACAAGAGUUCGAGAGACAAGAUACAAGAUCACUGAAACAAGAGCCAAGACUGAAGAUUCAAGAGAAGAGAAAGCUGGCAGCCAUGGACUUACAAGUGGAGAUUAAUAAGGUCAUGUAAAGUUUUAUUUUUUUAUGGAAGACAGUAACUGGAGUUUUUUUUGUUAUAAACAUUAUUUACAGAACUUUUUAGGUUAUAGUAAUGUAAUGGAACUAGUGAGUUGUGGUAGCUGUCAAAAAGAACUAAUACCUUAAGUUUAAUUUUUAAAGUUAAUUUUCUUAAUUUACAGAGGGAUUAGUAGUUUUUUUUUUAAAACCUUAUUUAGGUUGGAAUUUAAAUACAAUAGCUUAUUAUAAAUGUGUACGAACAGUUCAAGUUCACAGUACUGAUAGGUAGGUCAGAUGAUCUUAUUGAUUUUGAUGAUUUGUUGUUUUGAGUUGAUUUUUAAGUGUUGUGAAUUAGACAAUGAAAUAGUUCUGAAAACUUAAAUUAUUUCAAGCUAAGAAAUAGUAAAUUUAAUUGUAACUCAAAGGACACCAGAAUUUAAUUUUUUUUUGAAUUAGUAAUGUUUGAAAAUUUUAUACUUUACAAGAAAGGUUAUAAACAAACAGAUCGGAUGGAACAAGGAUGCAGUAAAUCACAAUUUCAUUUAGAAUUAUUGAUUAGCUUUUGAGGUUAUGAAGUAAAAGUAAUUAUAGUUUAAAAGUUUGAAUAAAAAAAAAUGUUUUUUUUUAUUUGUUUGAAAUAGAAAGUUUAAAAGUUAAUUAGUCAUGAUCUAGGUGGGUGAUGGGGUGGGAAUUGGCCACUCUUUUUCCCUAUAACCUCCCUAACAUGGCCUUCUAUUACAACUAACAGAAAUAAAGAAGAAGAAAAAUGAAGAAUUAUUAGUUAGAAUGUUUCUUUCAUGAAGAUACCUGAUGAACUUUUACUGUUUGGAAGAAUAGAAGCAAGGUUAGUCAGAUAUUUUUACUCAGAAGAAGAAGAAGAUAAAGCAGUUUUAUGACUCGACAAGCCAGAGAUUGGUGUUUCCCCUCUGCGCUUCUAUUGACUACGUUGUUUACUCUCAUGGGAUAGCUGGUUCGGCACCAUGGAGAGAGAUUGGUGGGCAUUGUGGUUGCCCCCAGAAGAAAAGAAGAGUAGAAGAGGUUAUGGGUGGGUCAUGUGAACUGACCUUCAACCCAGUUACUUCGUGGGGACUAUUUGCUGUAUAGAGAAGAUCAAGACUCAAGAGUUAGGGAAAAUCAUUGGAGGUCAUGUUUCCCUUCCUUAAGUUUUUCCUAUCAAAUUAUUUGCCUGAUUAGAUUAUGCUAAGGGUGGGAUACUUUAUGUUAGCAGUUGAAUUAAUUAAUUUUAUUUUUUUGUGUGUUUGCAUCCUUGCCCAUCGAUUGCAGUUUAGUAGUUAGUUUUGUAUUUGUCAGGCGUGAUGGUAAUGCCUGUUGAUGAUGUUUCAGAAUUGUAAUCUGUUCGUGAUGAGGAUGGCACAACUCCGAAGCAGAUGUGGGGAGAAGUUGUGAGCUGCCCUGGAAGCCAGUCCAGUAGCUGUUGGAGUUGAGUGGUGUUUGCUGAUGGCCAGCCCAGGGAGCUACUCUUCUCGACAACACUGACUUCGAGGAGUUGCACCAACCUUCACGAGAUAAGAGUUUAAUUAAUUGAAACACUGUAAGGACACUUAAUUUUUUUUGAAGAACGAAAGAAGUAUGGUAAUAAACGGAAACCGAAAAAAAAAAAAUAAUAAUAAUUAUCAAGAAUUUGCACAUUGUUUAACGAAUACUGAGAAACUAAGAACAGUAAUUUAAUUUGUAAAGAGAGCUUCACUAACAGAACAAUUUUUUUAGAAUUGAGAACUCGAGCCUCUGAAGGUUCCUGUGAGAACAAACCAGAUAAAAGUUUUACAUUUAAUUUUAUGAAUACUUGUUGUUUUAAAAUAAAUCUUAUGCAGAAUCUAGAUGUAUGUUCAGACAGCAAGGAACUAAGAAAAUUAUUAUUUUUGUGAAAUGAGGAAUUUAUAGUUAUGGUUUAAUGGAAAAAGACAAUUUGUAAUUUUGAGGUAGCUCGAUGGGGCUCGAGCUCUGUGAGGGGAGGGUUAUGUCGCGGGUUGAAAUUUUGCAGGGUUGUUGAAAUCAAAUUUAGGGACUUUACUGACGGGACUCUGGGCUGGCUGCUCUGUUCACUCGUCAGCGCAAGUGGCGUGACCAUGUAAUUGGGGCACGGGGCCGGCGCGGCGCGCUGCGGGCUUGCAGAAUUUUGUUUGUUUGUUUGGCCGCGCGCUGGCGCAGCCACGGGCCGCAGUUACUGGGGCGCGCUGUCGUAACAAGCCGCGCGGUGUGGCCUGCACAUUGGGGUAGAGGGGGGGUAGUCUUCCCAGAUGUUCUAGUUAGUUGUUUAGUAAAUUUGACUUCAAUAACGAGCUUUUGUUAUGGUAGGCGCGGCAGGGCGCGCGAAUUUAAGCGCAAGUGAGUGGUGACUCGGGGCUCACUCAGGCGGAGGCUAUGCGUCUCACCUGUGGUCACGAGUUGUUAGUUCGUUCGUGAUGUAGGAAUUCAGGCUCACUCAGGCGGAGGCUAUGCGUCUCACCUGUGGUCACGAGUUGUUAGUUCGUUCGUGAUGUAGGAAUUCAAGCUUUCGGGCGGCAGCUAUGGUCGACGCCAGAGGCCACGAGUCGUUUAAUUUAAGUUAGGUCAUAAUGUAGUCGUCAAGCUUUCGGGCGGAGGCUAUGGCCCUCGUCAGGGGUCACGCGUCAUAGUUUUUAAAAUGUAAUGUUCGUUCGGGAUUUCAAGGGCAGGAGAGGCCCCUACGUUAUUUUUUUAAAGUAAUCGAUCAAGAAAGGCUUUUCGGAAAAUGUGAGUAUGGACUUAUCUUUGUUUUAAUUUUAAGUAUUAAUUAUGAUUUGAGGUAUUCGGAAGGACUAGGGAAGUGUUUAGUGAAGUUCUCUCAUUCUCUCUCUUGUAAGGUCGUUCAAUCGUUAAGGAAGUAAAGAGAUUAUUGUUUUAAAUUGUAAUCCCGCUAUUUAAAUGUUCUUUAAAAUGAUGUUGAGUAUUUGACUUUAAGAAUAAAAUAAUUUUAAUUAAGUAUUAUGUUAUUUUGCAAAAUCUCCUUAGUUCAGCUCUCACCAGACAUCCUGUACGGGAUGACGAACCUAUGAUCCUAGGUACAGUAAAGUAUUUUAUGAAGUUAAGACUAGUUGAUGCCAAGCGAGUUGUUUCUAUGUAAAGAGCUACGAUUCUCGCCCCCCCCUCUGAAGGUGCACGUGACAAUAUUAACAAUCCAGGUUUGAACAUCUAGUCAACAUAAAGAUCAAUAGGGACCUAUGCAUCAAAACUAAAUUUAGAUAUUAUGAAGAAAAUGUGCAGUAGUUUUAAACACUGCAGGCUUUUCAGUACAGUGCUCUAUGUAAAAAAAAGUUGUUACAAUAUAAAAAGGAUGUUACAUAUCAAUAGCUAAACAAACUUAAGAUAUAAGCUUGACACAUAUGUAUAUCACUUUGAAACUAUCUAUCUCUGUAAGCACUGAAUAAAACAUUAAACUAUGAACUAUGUAGACUCAGGGUACGAAAAAGAUUGAUAGAAUGGGAGCUACACCUCUAAAGUAAUUUAUCUGCAACAGAUUUAACAAUUUUAAAAUUUGGCUAUUUGUUUAGUAGCCUGAACAUGAAAGCUGAACACACUAUGGUUGUAUUAGAUUGAUUUAGUCACUGAAGAGGAAUACACACGGACAUUCUUAAAUCUUUCAGUCCCAUGAUAAAAAUGUACAUGGUAAGAAUACAAUAACUGACAUGCCAUUUACUUUUUUAAGAGUUCCGAAUACAGCUGAUGCGUUUCCAAAUAUUGGAGGUAAUUUUGUUUGAAUAUUUCAACCCUAUUCCGAAAUUCUCUUGCGGUAUCUUCCAAGUUUGCCAACACUGCAGCCCAACCUGUAACAAAAUUUACAAAACAAAAA